This 497-nucleotide ribosomal RNA is filed under the name uncultured bacterium. RNAcentral's name for it is "partial 16S ribosomal RNA". It matches the Rfam family "Bacterial small subunit ribosomal RNA", at positions 28 to 507 of the family's 1533-position model. The record is from RNAcentral.
GAUGAACGCUGGCGGCGUGCCUAAUACAUGCAAGUCGAGCGAACAGACGAGGAGCUUGCUCCUCUGACGUUAGCGGCGGACGGGUGAGUAACACGUGGAUAACCUACCUAUAAGACUGGGAUAACUUCGGGAAACCGGCGCUAAUACCGGAUAAUAUAUUGAACCGCAUGGUUCAAUAGUGAAAGACGGUUUUGCUGUCACUUAUAGAUGGAUCCGCGCCGCAUUAGCUAGUUGGUAAGGUAACGGCUUACCAAGGCAACGAUGCGUAGCCGACCUGAGAGGGGGAUGGGCCACACUGGAACUGAGACGCGGUCCAGACUCCUACGGGAGGCAGCAGUAGGGAAUCUUCCGCAAUGGGCGAAAGCUUGACGGAGCAACGCCGCGUGAGUGAUGAAGGUCUUCGGAUCGUAAAACUCUGUUAUUAGGGAAGAACAAAUGUGUAAGUAACUAUGCACGUCUUGACGGUACCUAAUCAGAAAGCCACGGCUAACUACGUG